UCCAAACACACUUUUUGUAGAAUCUGCAAGUGGAAAUUUGGACUUCUCUGAGGAUUUCGUUGGAAACUGUAUAAACUUCCCAGAAGUAAUCGGAAGCAUUCUCCGAAACUUGUUUGUGAUGUUUGCAUUCAACUCACAGGGUUGAACCUUCCUUUCAUAGUUCAGCUUUCAAACACUCUUCCUGUAGAAUCUGCAUGUGGAUAUUUGCACCACUCUGUGGCCUUCCUUCGAAGCGGGUAUAUCUUCACAUCAAACCUAGACAGAAGCAUUCUCAGAAUGUUUCCUGUGAGGACUGCAUUCAACUCACAGAGUUGAACAAUCCUGUUGACGGAGCAGUUUUGAAACUCACUUUCUUUGGAAUGUGCAAGUGGAUAUGUGGAACUCUUUGAAGAUUUCAUUGGAAACGGGUUAAUCUUCACAUAAAAACUAAACAGAAGCAUUCUCAGAAACUACUUUGUGAUGUUUGUGUUCAACUUCCAGAGUUGAACUUUCCUCUGGAAAGAGCAGCUAUGAAACACUCUUUUUCUAGAAUGUGCAAGUGGACAUUUGGAGGGCUUUGAGGCCUGCGGUGGAAAAGGAAAUAUCUUCACAUGAAUACUAGAUAGAAGCAUUCUCAGAAACUACUUUGUGAUGAUUGCAUUCGACUCACAGAGUUGGACAUUCCUAUGGAUAGAACAGUUUGUCAACACUCUUUUUGUAGAAUCUGCCGUUGGAUAUUUGGACGGCUUUGAGACCUACGGUAGUAAAGGAAAUAACUUCAUAUAAAAACCAAACGGAAGCAUUCACAGAAAAUUCUUUGUGAUGAUUGUAUUUAUCUCAGAGAGCUGAACAUUCCUGUAGAUGGAGCAAUUUCCAAAGACACUUUUUGUAGAUUCUGCAAGUGGAUAUUUGGACCUCUCUGAGAAUUUCGUUGGAAACGGGAGAAACUUCCCAGAACUACACGGAA
This 946-nucleotide long non-coding RNA is filed under the name Homo sapiens (human). RNAcentral's name for it is "HSALNT0175211". The record is from RNAcentral. Lineage: Eukaryota; Metazoa; Chordata; Mammalia; Primates; Hominidae.